This 233-nucleotide ribosomal RNA is filed under the name uncultured Sphingomonadales bacterium. RNAcentral describes it as "partial 16S ribosomal RNA". It matches the Rfam family "Bacterial small subunit ribosomal RNA", at positions 83 to 334 of the family's 1533-position model. The record is from RNAcentral. Lineage: Bacteria; Pseudomonadati; Pseudomonadota; Alphaproteobacteria; Sphingomonadales.
ACUUCGGACUUAGUGGCGCACGGGUGCGUAACGCGUGGGAAUCUGCCCUUGGGUACGGAAUAACUCAGAGAAAUUUGUGCUAAUACCGUAUAAUGUCUUCGGACCAAAGAUUUAUCGCCCAAGGAUGAGCCCGCGUAAGAUUAGCUAGUUGGUGGGGUAAAGCCUACCAAGGCGACGAUCUUUAGCUGGUCUGAGAGGAUGAUCAGCCACACUGGGACUGAGACACGGCCCAG